GGGCAAUCAAAGACACCAUAUCAACCUAGGAAGGACUAUCUGCGGUAAGGAUCAAAAAGGAAAUUGAGAGGGGGUUCUUGAGACAAAGAACAAGGAUUAAACAGAAACAAGAAGUCGACAUCUAAAAGAUAAAUCUCAGAUAAGCUAAUCAUCCUAUUCACUCAAUUAGUUAAAAACAGAAAUACAUCUUUUUGUUUUUAGAU
RNAcentral lists this long non-coding RNA (203 nucleotides) under Lupinus angustifolius (narrow-leaved blue lupine). Its description in RNAcentral is "long non-coding RNA (LANG_LNC003427)". The record is from RNAcentral. Lineage: Eukaryota; Viridiplantae; Streptophyta; Magnoliopsida; Fabales; Fabaceae.